This 2830-nucleotide long non-coding RNA is filed under the name Solanum tuberosum (potato). RNAcentral describes it as "long non-coding RNA (STUB_LNC003012)". The record is from RNAcentral. Lineage: Eukaryota; Viridiplantae; Streptophyta; Magnoliopsida; Solanales; Solanaceae.
UUUGAAUGAGUAUGUACAGUUGGCCCAUAUCUCACACCUGAAAAGGGCUUUGACCCGUUUGGAUACCAAAUCAUCAAAUGAAAUUAGAGUAAAAGCUUUGAACGGCUGCGGCGGCAGUUACAGGGAAAUCAAAGCCCCUUCCUUGAAGACAAUUUUCUCCAUAACAAGGUUUUUUGGUAUCAAGAGGUAAGUUAAAUCUCCAAAACUAAUUUGUGCUUGCUAUAUUGAUGUUUUAUUAAUAUGAUUUGCAAAUUUAUCUGUUGUGAUUUUGUCAAUUCAAUCAUUCUUUACAAAUAUGUAAGCAGCAAGGAAUAGAACACUUCAAUUUAAAACUACCCCCAAUCUUAGGAGUUGGUAUAGUGUGUAAACAAUCAAUUAGAAAAAAAAUAAUCUGGUCGCUAUUGACGUUUUGGUACUAGAAUCAAACUUUUAGGGACUAUUUUUCGUUGUUAAUGCCUGGUUCUUUUGUAGUAAAACCAAAAAUCUAGCUUAUGAGCAGAAGAUUGUCCAAGACCAUAAAAUGAGAGAAACAACCCAUCUAUGUACCAGUUACUUAGGCUUUGUCAAUUGGAGCGUGAACAAUAUACCGUGAGGGUCCAUCAUUAUGAUACACUAUAAUAGGGAGGGAUGGAUCUUGCUCUGAUAGCAUGUUAAGAAAUGGACCUUGGACCUAACUCAACUCCAAAGCUAGCUCAUGACGGGGAUUGUCCAAGACCAUAUAAUGAAAUAGAUAAACAAUCUAUCCAUCUAACUAGGAAGGAGAAGACACUGAGAUAACAAAUCAGUGAGGAGGGCUUUGUCCGAGUUGGAGCUCCAUGUCAGCAACAAUAUAAAUUUUUAAAGCUGGUUUUAUCCGAGGUGGAUCUCCGUUAGUGGGGAGGGGCUUAAGUGCUACACUUGGCUAACGGCAAGGGCAAUUUUGGUCCAAAAACAAAAUGGACAACAAAAUUGUGUUAUUUCAGUAGUUCAGAGAUAUUUUUUACCCUUUUCCCAAUACUCAAUGAUUAUAAUAGAUAGAAGGCCCUGAUGAGGCGUAAAAACUAAUUGUCCAAAAAAAAAAACUAAUGAGGUUAAGAGACAUUGUUAUCAGAGAUAAGUUUCUAUAUACCUUGAUAAAUGAAAGACUUGAACGUGUGAUUUUAAAUAGAAAUCAUGAUAUACGAAGUAUUGAUUACAAAGUGAAAUGCAAAAAGAAAAUAACGAUAGUGAUAUUCUGAAAGAUAACGGAACCACUCUGACAUACAAUUUAUUUCAUUUGAGAGAAAUAGGAUUUGCCUAUGAAUUUGUGAUGGUUGACACACCAAAUUUAAAGUUUGAUCCUCUUAGCUUUUCUUUUGUGAUAUGAUCCAUUCUUUCUAUCAUGUUAUCUGUUAGAUGAUUCUUCCAAUCUCCAGGCUUACCCUUCCUGAAAUAGGCGCUGUUAUCUAUCUGCAAAGAGGAUAUUGGCCGAUCCUGCCCAUUCUUAAUCACCUCCAAAUUGCUCAAGUUGUCAAAACUACAUAAUUUGAAAAUCCUUUCUGGUAACCCUUCUCCCUCUUCGUCCCUUGAAAAUGGUUUUCCCAUGAACUCAGCCAAUUUUCUCACGUAGAACAAUGUGUCUUUUGUUAAUUCUUCAUAUUUGAGAAACAAUAGUGAUUCUGGCUUGUCUAAACUUUGUUUCCAGUACCCCAAAACAUGAUCCCAGUACGGUCCCCACAUUGUUUUCCCUUCACAGAACAACUCGAACCCUUCCUCAAAGGAAAUUAACAAUUCUGUUGUUUCAUCCAACUCUCCUUGCUGCAGCCAUGUAAAUCUUUGCAUGAAAUGCCAAAGAGAAAUGAAAGUGUCCUUGGGUUCCCUGCACAAGUAAAUCAUCUUUGUACUGUCCAGGGACUGGACAGAUUUGGGUAAAGCAUCAAAUGGUAUAUGUGUGGCUAUAAGAAAAAUAUUUUGAGCCUUCAUAUCGGAAGAAUGUUUUGGAGAAUCAAAUUCCAAGGAAGGGAUGAGAACAUGAGAAAGAUUAGUGAGCAAAGGGUUGUUUUCCAUAUUAAAAUGAUCUCUGGUUACAAUCGCGUAACACAGAGCUUUGAGCCAUGUGCAACCAGUUUUAGGAGCACUACAAAUGUAUAUAUCGUUCCAAGAAGACUUAAAGUUUUCUUGUGCUGAAAUGAUAGCUUGAAGCAUUGGAAACGGAUACCAAAAGCCUUGGUACUGAUACAAAUCCAUGAAAUCAUUAGACCCUUUUUCCUUUGGAAGCGUUGAUAUAAGCUUCUUGAAUUUAGAGCUCGCUUCUUCUUCUUCUUCGGCAACAUAAGAGAGGUUUAUGGUCAUGUUAUUGAUGGGGGAAGAAUCCAUGAAGGUUUAAUUCAACCAAAUACUGGCUAGCUUAUGAGAGAAUGAAGAGAAGAUAGUAGAUGGAUCAUGGAUUGGGUUGUGAGAGGUUCUCUUUUUCCUUUAAAAAAUAAUUAUUUGACUUUAUACUUACUAUUUUACUCGCAAUGGCAUGCUCAUAUAUGCUAUAUAUGAUAUAUUUAAUCCUGCAAGUGUUAGGCCGUCUCAACAAGAUUGAACAUGCCAUUACUAGUCCUCCACAUGGUCUUAGAUAUUUCUUUAUUCUUUGAGAUUUUUCUUGUUUUGCUUAUGUUAACAAAAGCAAUAUCAUAUCCAGGAUUUGAACUGAUCAAAACCUUUGAUUUUUGAACUGAUCAAAACCUUUGAUUAAAGAUGAAGAAAUAGUUACCACCGUCUUCCACAACCUUUGUUGAUGAGAUUCUACCUUAGUUAUCACUUGACGAGUGAUUCAAUUCCACUAUUAAUUUUAUAGCAUCUACUCUGUCAGUUACAUAGCCAG